UUUGGCUUUUCUCUUAGGCAUAUUCUCUCCACACCUAUCAUCUUCUUCACCCAAUUUCUCACUGCAACUUCAUCUUCCUUGUGAUUAAAGAUAGGGGUUUCCAUCAUCAUAAUGCCCUCUUUGACUCUACCUGAUCAAUUUCUUCAUUCAGUUGGCCAUAAACGAAAGGAACAACAAAAAAAGCAGCACUAGCAUGAACAUCUAAUGAGGUAGCUGAACUGGAAAUUUUGCGAUCAUUGAAUCAAACAUGAAAAACCUUCUUAUAGCCAGAAUCCCAACAAAACUUGUUCUGUCAAUGCAUUCUUCACCUCAAUUCUGGUCAUUGUAUCUGCUAGAAAACACUUGAAUUUGAUACCUUGUGAUGGAGGAAUUAGUUUAAAAAACUUCAUAUUUUUGUUUUUUAGAGAAGCAAACCCAAUAGAACGAACAUUUUUCUAUGGAGUUUUAAAACCAGCAUGAAUUUUUAUAGGUGGCACAUAAAAAACACAAUCACCAUAACUAAAUAAGCAAUCCAGAGUUGUAGACAGCACUGGUUAAACUAUUCUGCAGCAAGAUGGUGAUGUGACUAAGGCAUAACCAUUAAGAAAAUUCUAAAGGAUUUGUUAUGCUAUCCAGAGUAAGUGUCACUAAACUGAAACUCAAAUGUCAGAUCAACCCACUUGAGCGGCCUCGAGUCCUUUUUGCCCAGAUUCAAUCACAUCUGCAAUCGGAUUUGCAUACUUGUGAAACUGCAAAAAUCCAAACGCGAUAGUUCAAUAAUUUCUCAUUCACUAUAACACAGCAUGAACAGGAUUCAAGGUAAUCACAUCACAGAAAAUAAACAGUAAAAUAAAA
This 834-nucleotide small RNA is filed under the name Vigna angularis var. angularis. RNAcentral's name for it is "Non-protein coding transcript". The record is from RNAcentral. Lineage: Eukaryota; Viridiplantae; Streptophyta; Magnoliopsida; Fabales; Fabaceae.